Molecule: ribosomal RNA, 495 nt
Filed under: uncultured bacterium
Lineage: Bacteria
Description: partial 16S ribosomal RNA
Rfam family: Bacterial small subunit ribosomal RNA
Source: RNAcentral
GACGAACGCUGGCGGCGUGCUUAACACAUGCAAGUCGAACGGAAAGGCCUGCUUUCCCUUGUGGAUUGCGGGUACUCGAGUGGCGAACGGGUGAGUAACACGUGAGUGAUCUGCCCCCAACUUGGGUAUAAGCCUGGGGAAACUGGGUCUAAUUCCCGAUAGGACUGCAGGGUGGUGCCUGUGGUGGAAAACGAUUUUCUAGUGGUUGGGGAUGAGCUCGCGGCCUAUCAGCUUGUUGGUGGGGUAAUGGCCUACCAAGGCGGCGACGGGUAGCCGGCCUGAGAGGGUGGACGGCCACAUUGGGACUGAGAUACGGCCCAGACUCCUACGGGAGGCAGCAGUGGGGAAUAUUACACAAUGGGCGGAAGCCUGAUGCAGCGACGCCGCGUGGGGGAUGACGGCCUUCGGGUUGUAAACUCCUUUCGACCGCGAGGAAGCCACCUGGUUGGAAGGGUGGUGACGGUAGUGGUAGAAGAAGCACCGGCUAACUACGUG